RNAcentral lists this long non-coding RNA (363 nucleotides) under Marmota monax (woodchuck). Lineage: Eukaryota; Metazoa; Chordata; Mammalia; Rodentia; Sciuridae. The record is from RNAcentral.
AGGGAACCUGGUUCCUUGACUUUGACCAUUUCAGAAAACCAGCCUUGGGCAUCACUCAGGGUGAGAGGGAAGAAAGAUGUGGGCACUGGAGGGUUGCAGGGAUCAGAGAAGUAGGCAGAGUGAGAGAGAUGCAUGGAGACCUCCAGGCAGUCCCUGGCCACAUUUGUGCUGUGUCUGCUCUGUGCAGUACCAUAGCCCGGGUUAUGGAGAGUGAGAUCUCAAAGAUGAAUCACCCCACUCUCAAGUUGGCUACUUUCAAUUAUUCCUAUUUGAGGAAAGGUUUCCAUAGGAUUACUCUAGGCUCAAAGGAGUCUCUUUGCCCAAACCACCUUGGUGACCCCUAUUGACCUGGCUUGAUUGUUC